RNAcentral lists this ribosomal RNA (373 nucleotides) under uncultured organism. Its description in RNAcentral is "partial 16S ribosomal RNA". It matches the Rfam family "Bacterial small subunit ribosomal RNA", at positions 527 to 896 of the family's 1533-position model. The record is from RNAcentral.
GAACCGUACGAACGUUAUUCGGAAUCACUGGGCUUAAAGGGUGCGUAGGCGGCUCGGCAAGUUGGGUGUGAAAUCCCUCGGCUCAACCGAGGAACUGCGCUCAAAACUGCCGAGCUAGAGGGAGACAGAGGUGAGCGGAACUUAGGGUGGAGCGGUGAAAUGCGUUGAUAUCCUAAGGAACACCAGUAGCGAAAGCGGCUCACUGGGUCUCUUCUGACGCUGAGGCACGAAAGCUGGGGGAGCGAACGGGGGAUUAGAUACCCCGGUAGUCCUAGCUGUAAACGAUGAGCACUGGGUCGAGGAUCCUCCAUAGUUUUCCCGGCCGUAGCGAAAGUGUUAAGUGCUCCGCCUGGGGAGUAUGGUCGCAAGGCUG